This 170-nucleotide ribosomal RNA is filed under the name Balaenoptera borealis (sei whale). RNAcentral's name for it is "partial 12S rRNA". The record is from RNAcentral. Lineage: Eukaryota; Metazoa; Chordata; Mammalia; Artiodactyla; Balaenopteridae.
CACCGCGGUCAUACGAUUAACCCAAAUUAAUAGAAACACGGCGUAAAGAGUGUUAAGGAGUCACACAGAAUAAAGUCAAACCUUAAUUAAGCUGUAAAAAGCCAUAAUUAAAACUAAGCCAAACUACGAAAGUGACUUUAAUAUGAUCCAAUCACACGACAGCUAAGAUC